RNAcentral lists this long non-coding RNA (692 nucleotides) under Parus major (Great Tit). Its description in RNAcentral is "lncRNA (ENSPMJG00000013579.1)". The record is from RNAcentral. Lineage: Eukaryota; Metazoa; Chordata; Aves; Passeriformes; Paridae.
UGAGCACUAUUAGUCAGCCCUCUGCUGCCUUGGUUCUUGGCUGGUGUGUUCACACAGACUGAAAUCAGAGCCUGUCCAAACCAAUAAGCCACACUCUGGAUGGAACAUCUGAAAGGCAGAACGCCCACCUACACUUUUAAUGUAGUGGUCAUCACUGGCAGAAAAACUGAGAGGUGUGGGAGGGUGCAGUCCUGAGAUAAGUGAGCUUUCUCAUCAUUUGAAGCUUAAGCGUGAGCCAUUACUCAGCUAAAAGUCCAGAAGGAAUGUUGUCAGAAGGGUUCUUACCCAGCUCUGGGACAACAGCUCUCUGGAAAAUGUGCUGGAAUACCAAGACCUACCAGAGUGUGCCAGUUUGUGGAAUUAUAUAUCCAAAGAGAUGGUGAAAAAAGUUAACAGCACUUUAUGGCAGUGUCACACAAAGAAAAGUUACAUCAUCUGCAAACCAAGUGAACAAUGAACAGUACCACAGUGAUAGCUUUAUUUUUACUGCAAGAAGAUGCACCUUAUUUGUAACGCUGAGGGAGAGGGAAGCUUUUAAUUUUCCAGGAAAGCAAGGUAAAAUGAAAUUUCACUUUUCAAUGUGACAGCAACUUUAAAAAAAAAAAAGGGGGGGGGGGGCGUGGAGAAAAGAAGGAAAAGAGACACCAUGGUUGCAAAACUCAACAGAACAACACAUGGAACCCAAGUGAGAU